This 416-nucleotide ribosomal RNA is filed under the name uncultured bacterium. Its description in RNAcentral is "bacterial SSU rRNA". It matches the Rfam family "Bacterial small subunit ribosomal RNA", at positions 506 to 920 of the family's 1533-position model. The record is from RNAcentral.
UGCCAGCAGCCGCGGUAAUACGUAGGGUGCGAGCGUUAAUCGGAAUUACUGGGCGUAAAGCGUGCGCAGGCGGUUUUGUAAGACAGAUGUGAAAUCCCCGGGCUUAACCUGGGAACUGCGUUUGUGACUGCAAGACUUGAGUGCGGCAGAGGGGGGUGGAAUUCCACGUGUAGCAGUGAAAUGCGUAGAGAUGUGGAGGAACACCGAUGGCGAAGGCAGCCCCCUGGGUCGACACUGACGCUCAUGCACGAAAGCGUGGGUAGCAAACAGGAUUAGAUACCCUGGUAGUCCACGCCCUAAACGAUGCGAACUAGGUGUUGGGGAAGGAGACUUUCUUAGUACCGCAGCUAACGCGUGAAGUUCGCCGCCUGGGGAGUACGGUCGCAAGAUUAAAACUUAAAGGAAUUGGCGGGGGA